This 855-nucleotide ribosomal RNA is filed under the name Triticum aestivum (bread wheat). RNAcentral's name for it is "partial small subunit ribosomal RNA". Lineage: Eukaryota; Viridiplantae; Streptophyta; Magnoliopsida; Poales; Poaceae. The record is from RNAcentral.
AUGGCCAGGUUUUGCUGCUUCGGCGCCGGUUGCUCAGAGUUGACAGGGCAUGCAUCAGCCACCUCUGGUAAAGGGAAAGGCUGUCAGGGUCAAGUCAAGGUUAGCUACGGGUUUAGCCUUGUAAGAGGAAAGACAAACCAUCCGAUGGAGGAUUUUCAUGUCGCAGAACUUGCUGAAGUGAAAGGAAACGAGCUUGGUCUUUUUGCUAUUUAUGAUGGUCAUUUAGGAGAUACUGUUCCUGCAUACCUACAGGAAAAUUUGUUUUCUAAUAUUUUGAACGAGGCAAAGUUUUGGACACAUCCAGACAGAGCAAUCACAAAGGCUUAUGAAAAGACGGACCAGGCUAUUCUGUCACAUACUCCAGAUUUGGGACAAGGUGGCUCCACUGCCGUAACUGCCAUCCUUAUAAACGGCAGUAAGUUGUGGGUAGCUAAUGUUGGGGAUUCGCGAGCUGUUCUUCUGAAAGGAGGUGAGGCCAUACAGAUGUCAAUUGACCACGACCCGAAUGCUGAGCGCGGCGCUAUUGAAAAUAAGGGUGGUUUUGUUUCAAAUAUGCCAGGAGAUGUUCCCAGAGUCUGUGGUCAGUUGGCCGUGUCCAGAGCGUUUGGGGACAGGAAUCUAAAAUCACUUUUGAAAUCAGAGCCUGAUGUGAAAGUUGAAGAUAUCGAUCACACUGCUGAGCUAGUUGUCCUUGCGAGCGAUGGAGUUUGGAAGGUAAUGAACAAUCAGGAAGCCGUUGAUGUGGUGAAAAGGUACAAGGACCCACAAACAGCUGCCAAGCAAUUAGUCGCCGAAGCAGUGAAAAGAGACAGUAAAGAUGAUAUAUCAUGCGUGGUCGUUAGGUUCAAGAUGUAA